AGGGUGGCUGAGGUUCUGUCUGCAUCGACCUGAGCAGGGAGAAGGGACGGAAGAGAUGGCAGGGCGGAGAGAGGAGGCGGCAGCGCAGCGCUCGGAACUCCUGUGGUUUGGUGAGACGAGGCGCACGGCUGCCUGGGGGCCAACCAGACACCACAGGAGGCAGCCCAGCCUGGAGUUCUGAUACAAGCCAAGAGCAGUGACCAGGAAGUACAUGUCCCAGAGAUCCGGACAGAGAGAGAGAAAGACAGAGGGAGGUUUCAGGUGCUCCCAGUUGCAGACUCAAGGGUUCUCCGUCGCAGAAGCCACUUCCCUUUCCUGCCCUUCUCUCCUCCCCCUCCCGGCCCCUCUGCAAUCUGGAAUUGGGGCCGCGGCUCAGCUCUACCCCUCUGGGCUGCUGUGGGGGCGUUCUGGAAGACUGGCCUGCCCUGCUGGACUACGAGUGUCUCUGCCAAGAGCUGACAGAGGACGCAGGUCCCGUAAGCACAUCCUUCGGGAGAAAAGGCCAUGACAAGUGUCUCUCCAUUUGACAUCCUUCAGGCGCCUCCUCUGAGUCGGGCACGGCCAUCUCCACGCACUGGAAAUGGAGCAGCGGGCAGAGACAAGACUGCCUGCCUUCCUGGAGCAUAUAGUCUUGAGUGGGCAGAGAGGUGAUGAUAAGCAAAUAAAUAAUCAGAGUGUGGAGUGCUUCAGAUAUUGCUAGGUGGCUGGGAGAAAACUUAAGCAGGGGAUGGGGACAGAGUGUGUGGGGAAAGUUGGCUCCCCCGCUCCUGAACUCUCUUCCCUGUGCAGCCCCAGUGUCUUCAGCCAGAGGCUUUGGGCUGCCGAGAGACUUGCUACGAUCAGCAGCAGCUGCCCCCCGACUCAGAACGUCAUACAUUCACACUGUGCCAGCGGGAGCCUCGUCUUGAUCAGAGGACAGCUGGGGCACGCAUGCGCUGUGCUGCCCACUAGACACUCGGGUUUGGGUGACGCUCCCCCUUUGAUGUCGGAGAAGCAGAUGCCAACACUCUUGAGUAAACGGAAUCCCCGAGGAUCAGGGCUGUCAUCCUUCUCUGCUCGCAGGGGGUUGGCAUCGUGAGUCCAUCCCCUCCCCACACUGGGCAUUGCCCUGAUCGAGCAGCUGUAAGUGUGGCCAUGGGACAGGCCCCCAUUUGCCUCUGGCUUCCGCACUCCUCUAAAUUCAUCCCAGAACCAAUCUACAGGGGCCUCGGGCACAGGGUGCAAUUUGAGAGAAGCUGCACGCUGUCCGACCAAAAGGACCCCUCCGAUGCUGUCAGGGCCAAGGCAAAGCCCACUGUCGAUCCUACACACGGGGCAUUGCUGGCACGGGAGACAGAAGUAUUGAGAAAGAGACAAAGAGGCCACCCGGCAAUGGGUAAGAGCAGGGAGCCACUAGCACGCUAGGGCUGGAGAGGCCGUGGGAGGGGAACUUGUUACCGGGACCCAGAAGCCAGGCCGUUGGCUACGGGCACUUAGUGAAACCCGGGUCCAAGAUGGGAAGGCUGCCCAGCAGGCACAGCAGCACUGCUGGGGAUACUCCUGAGGUAGAGCAAAUGGGGAGACGGGAGACACACCCUCCCUGCUCCCUCCUCCACCUCCCAGGGCUGGCCCUGCCUCCGUGAUGUUUAGUUUUAUGUCAAUUUGCCUAGGCUUAUAGUAUGCAGCUUUUUAUUCAAACAUUAAUCUUGAUGUUGCUAUGACGAUUUUUAGGCUUGGCUAACAUCUCUAAUCAGUUGGCUUUAAGUAACGGAGAUUACCCUCGAUAGUUUGGGUGGGCCUCAUCCAAUCAGUUGAAGGCCUUAAGAGCAAACACUGAGGUUCUUGAAGAAGAAAUUCUACCUUAAGAUUGCAGCAUCAACUCCUGCUUGAGUUUCCAGCCUUACCAGCCUGCCUUAUAAAUUUUAGACCUGCCAUUCCAACCCCCAUGAUCCUGUGAACCAGUUUCUUGAA
This is a long non-coding RNA of Phyllostomus hastatus (greater spear-nosed bat), 1950 nucleotides long. RefSeq lists it as uncharacterized. NCBI's taxonomy places the organism in Eukaryota, Metazoa, Chordata, Mammalia, Chiroptera, Phyllostomidae. The record is from RefSeq and is a predicted model, not a curated record. The transcript has 3 exons.